RNAcentral lists this ribosomal RNA (576 nucleotides) under Colletotrichum siamense. RNAcentral's name for it is "eukaryotic LSU rRNA". The stretch from base 209 to 362 matches the Rfam family "5.8S ribosomal RNA". Lineage: Eukaryota; Fungi; Ascomycota; Sordariomycetes; Glomerellales; Glomerellaceae. The record is from RNAcentral.
AAGGUCUCCGUUGGUGAACCAGCGGAGGGAUCAUUACUGAGUUUACGCUCUACAACCCUUUGUGAACAUACCUAUAACUGUUGCUUCGGCGGGUAGGGUCUCCGCGACCCUCCCGGCCUCCCGCCUCCGGGCGGGUCGGCGCCCGCCGGAGGAUAACCAAACUCUGAUUUAACGACGUUUCUUCUGAGUGGUACAAGCAAAUAAUCAAAACUUUUAACAACGGAUCUCUUGGUUCUGGCAUCGAUGAAGAACGCAGCGAAAUGCGAUAAGUAAUGUGAAUUGCAGAAUUCAGUGAAUCAUCGAAUCUUUGAACGCACAUUGCGCCCGCCAGCAUUCUGGCGGGCAUGCCUGUUCGAGCGUCAUUUCAACCCUCAAGCUCUGCUUGGUGUUGGGGCCCUACAGCUGAUGUAGGCCCUCAAAGGUAGUGGCGGACCCUCUCGGAGCCUCCUUUGCGUAGUAACUUUACGUCUCGCACUGGGAUCCGGAGGGACUCUUGCCGUAAAACCCCCAAUUUUCCAAAGGUUGACCUCGGAUCAGGUAGGAAUACCCGCUGAACUUAAGCAUAUCAAUAAGCGG